GAGAAGUAUGCUGGCAUGAAAGAGGCCUUUGCGGAGGAUACUCUAGUUGGUUCAGCCAUGGCAGGACCCAGUAAGGAGUGCCAUCCAAGAUGAGAAGAGAAAAGCCACUAGCACUCCCAGUCCCCACCCCUGAGAUGGAAUAAUGGGGGUCGAAAUCGUUGAUCCCGGAGUCCUUCGAGAAUGGUUCGACGACCAUCAGUCAAUAGAUCCGUACUCUCUGGCA
This 223-nucleotide long non-coding RNA is filed under the name Elaeis guineensis (African oil palm). RNAcentral describes it as "long non-coding RNA (EGUI_LNC064611)". Lineage: Eukaryota; Viridiplantae; Streptophyta; Magnoliopsida; Arecales; Arecaceae. The record is from RNAcentral.